GGGCCCGUAGCUCAGCGGCAGAGCACGGGGCUCAUAACCUCUUGGUCGCUGGUUCGAAUCCAGCCGGGCCCA
Transfer RNA from Leptolinea tardivitalis, 72 nucleotides. It matches the Rfam family "tRNA". From Rfam's summary of the family: Transfer RNA (tRNA) molecules are approximately 80 nucleotides in length. Their secondary structure includes four short double-helical elements and three loops (D, anti-codon, and T loops). Further hydrogen bonds mediate the characteristic L-shaped molecular structure. tRNAs have two regions of fundamental functional importance: the anti-codon, which is responsible for specific mRNA codon recognition, and the 3' end, to which the tRNAs corresponding amino acid is attached (by aminoacyl-tRNA synthetases). tRNAs cope with the degeneracy of the genetic code in two manners: having more than one tRNA (with a specific anti-codon) for a particular amino acid; and 'wobble' base-pairing, i.e. permitting non-standard base-pairing at the 3rd anti-codon position. The record is from Rfam. NCBI's taxonomy places the organism in Bacteria, Bacillati, Chloroflexota, Anaerolineae, Anaerolineales, Anaerolineaceae.